GACGAACGCUGGCGGCGUGCCUAAUACAUGCAAGUCGAGCGAAGUUUUUCUGGUGCUUGCACUAGAAAAACUUAGCGGCGAACGGGUGAGUAACACGUAAAGAACCUGCCUCAUAGACUGGGACAACUAUUGGAAACGAUAGCUAAUACCGGAUAACAGCAUUAACUGCAUGGUUGAUGUUUAAAAGUUGGUUUUGCUAACACUAUGAGAUGGCUUUGCGGUGGAUUAGCUAGUUGGGGGGGUAAAGGCCUCCCAAGGCGACGAUGCAUAACCGACCUGAGAGGAGGAACAGUCACACUGGAACUGAGACACGGGCCAGACGCCGACGGGAGGGAGCAGUGGGGAAUAUUGGACAAUGGGUGGAAGCCUGAUCCGGACAUGGGGCGUGUGUGAAGAAGGUCUUCGGAGUUUAAAGCACUGUAAGUUGGGAGGAAGGGCAGUAAGUGAAUAACUUGCGGUGUGGACGUUACCAACAGAAUAAGCACCGGCUAACGUCGUG
RNAcentral lists this ribosomal RNA (499 nucleotides) under uncultured bacterium. RNAcentral describes it as "partial 16S ribosomal RNA". It matches the Rfam family "Bacterial small subunit ribosomal RNA", at positions 28 to 507 of the family's 1533-position model. The record is from RNAcentral.